CUUAAAUGUCAGUUGAAAUUAGAGUAAAUCAAUUACGAAAGUACAACGCAAUUGUUGGAUGCUGCGAGGGUGCUCCGCCACACCCAACAAAAAAAGCUUAUAAUGUAGCCCUGGUACGUGAUGAGCAGCUGUUCGCUAACUCCACCUCUGUUAUGAUCGCUACUCAGCAAUUACAUGAAUUACAUAUGCAGGUGUGUCUGUAUGCGUGUGUUUACUGGAAUGCAAAUAACCUGCUGUUAGCCUUCCAGUUGAAAUUUACAGUUUCCAAAAAACUCUUUGCAAUAUCUUCUUCCGCAGCGGAUGUGCCUUUAAUUGCCAACCAAGUGUGACUUCUCUCUAAAAUCGUUCUAGUCUUGUUCACAGGUAAUUUCUCACCUGUAACAAAACUGACCCUUGGCUGGUUUAAGCUACCUGCUGAGCGAGUUUCAGCUCAUUCAACCUGAGUCACGCAUUACGACUGUUUACAGUUUCGUAUUCUAUUUAUAUAGCCCUGCGGGAUGUAUUCUAUCUAUAUACAUACGUAUGUAAAUACAUAUACAUAUGUAUACAAAUAAUAAAUAUCGAAACUUUACAGAGUCAACCAAAAUA
This is a long non-coding RNA of Drosophila mojavensis, 588 nucleotides long. RefSeq lists it as uncharacterized. The transcript is spliced from 2 exons. The record is from RefSeq and is a predicted model, not a curated record. Lineage: Eukaryota; Metazoa; Arthropoda; Insecta; Diptera; Drosophilidae.